This 478-nucleotide ribosomal RNA is filed under the name uncultured bacterium. RNAcentral describes it as "partial 16S ribosomal RNA". It matches the Rfam family "Bacterial small subunit ribosomal RNA", at positions 28 to 507 of the family's 1533-position model. The record is from RNAcentral.
GACGAACGCUGGCGGCGUGCUUAACACAUGCAAGUCGAACGGGAUUUAGUAAACGGAAGCCUCGGUGGAAGAUUACUAAUGAGAGUGGCGAACGGGCGAGUAACGCGUGAGCAACCUGCCUAUGACAGUGGGAUAGCCUCGGGAAACCGGGAUUAAUACCGCAUAAAAUCGUAGAAACACAUGUUUCAACGGUCAAAGAUUUAUCGGUCAUAGAUGGGCUCGCGUCUGAUUAGCUAGUUGGUGAGAUAACAGCCCACCAAGGCGACGAUCAGUAGCCGGUCUGAGAGGAUGAACGGCCACAUUGGAACUGAGACACGGUCCAAACUCCUACGGGAGGCAGCAGUGGGGAAUAUUGCACAAUGGGGGAAACCCUGAUGCAGCGACGCCGCGUGAACGAAGAAGGUAUUCGUAUCGUAAAGUUCUGUCCUAUGGGAAGAUAAUGACAGUACCAUAGAAGAAAGCUCCGGCUAAAUACGUG